GACGAACGCUGGCGGCGUGCCUAAUACAUGCAAGUCGAGCGAACGGACGAGAAGCUUGCUUCGCUGAUGUUAGCGGCGGACGGGUGAGUAACACGUGGAUAACCUACCUAUAAGACUGGGAUAACUUCGGGAAACCGGAGCUAAUACCGGAUAAUAUUUUGAACCGCAUGGUUCAAAAGUGAAAGACGGUCUUGCUGUCACUUAUAGAUGGUUACGCGCUGCAUUAGCUAGUUGGUAAGGUAACGGCUUACCAAGGCGACGAUGCAUAGCCGACCUGAGAGGGUGGUCGGCCACCCUGGAAGUGAGACACGGUCCAGAGUCCUGCGGGAGGCAGCAGUAGGGAAUCUUCCGCAAUGGGCGAAAGCCGGACGGAGCGACGCCGCGUGAGUGAUGAAGGUCUUCGGAUCGUAAAACGCUGUUAGUAGGGGAGAACAUAUGUGUAAGUAACUGUGCAGAGCUUGACGGUACCUAAUCAAAAAGCCCCGGCUAACUACGUG
RNAcentral lists this ribosomal RNA (497 nucleotides) under uncultured bacterium. RNAcentral's name for it is "partial 16S ribosomal RNA". It matches the Rfam family "Bacterial small subunit ribosomal RNA", at positions 28 to 507 of the family's 1533-position model. The record is from RNAcentral.